This 222-nucleotide ribosomal RNA is filed under the name uncultured bacterium. Its description in RNAcentral is "partial 16S ribosomal RNA". It matches the Rfam family "Bacterial small subunit ribosomal RNA", at positions 1279 to 1500 of the family's 1533-position model. The record is from RNAcentral.
AAAACGGUCUCAGUUCGGAUUGAAGGCUGAAAUUCGCCUUCAUUGAAGCUGGAAUUGCUAGUAAUGGCAGGUCAGCAUACUGCCGUGAAUACGUUCCCGGGCCUUGUACACACCGCCCGUCACACCAUGAGAGUUGGAAAUACCCGAAGCCUGUGAGCUAACUUUAGAGGGCAGCAGUCGAAGGUAGAGCCAAUGAUUGGGGUGAAGUCGUAACAAGGUACC